This is a long non-coding RNA of Taeniopygia guttata (zebra finch), 4381 nucleotides long. RefSeq lists it as uncharacterized. Lineage: Eukaryota; Metazoa; Chordata; Aves; Passeriformes; Estrildidae. The record is from RefSeq and is a predicted model, not a curated record.
CUCUGCACAUAAUUUAAGGGCACAGUUAUGGUCUGAAAUAGAAAAUAUUUUGCUUUUAUAAAAAAAAUAAUCUGAAGGUUGGCAUGUAAGCUGCUCUUCUGUCUGUGAGAAAUCUGCUUAUCACCUGGAGGAAAUAUUUAAAAUGGCUCUUGCAGAAUGCUGGUACUGAUCGAUGGUGUCUUUUAUAAGUGCUUUUAAAAAGGCUGGUAAGCCUGACUAGUCUGUUGAUAAGCAAUUAGCACUGUGGAUUCUUUCUUCACCUCAGACAGGUUUUUUGACAAAAUUAUGAUGGGACUGUACAUAAUAACACUUGAACUACAGAAGAAAUUACAAUUUCCUAAAUACGACAUGGGGAUUACAAAUGGCAGUACAGAAUAAUGAGCAGAGCUAAUUAAAUUUUACCUGUGCAGACUACAUUUUGUCUCUUGCUCCUGCUUUAGUUAGAAGACUCAAACAUGGGUGAGUUGCUUUAGAUUAAAGUAAAAACUAUAGUGCUCUCAUCUUCAAACUCAAUUAAAAGUAAUUACCAUUUCUUGAAAACUUUUUCAAGGCAGGGAAUUGCAGGAUUACACUUUUGCAUGUUCUCACAAGUUCCUUUCUCUUGGCACGGAAGCAAGUUGCCAGUCAUCGUAGAAAAUGUUUUGGCAGUACCUUCCUGACACUUCUGUGUGGGAGGUGUAAGAAGAAAUAGGGAAUUCGCUCUUUGCUGCAACCAUUCUUUCAAGAAGUGAGAUUUUUGAGCUGGAGUUGCUUCCUGAGAGCUAAGUAAUGGGGGUUGUCAAAGAUUUCCAAAGAGAGAAUAGCAAGAGUUAUAAAAUGACCUUUAAAAAUAAUAUUUGUUUAAAACUUUUACUACAUGAGCAAUAGCUUGUUGUGAACAGAUUUAUCUGCUGUGUAUGAUCCCUCUUCCACCCAACUCCAGCCUCCUAGAAUCCAAAUUCUGUGCCUCAGAUGCUUUCAGGGAGACUUUUUGUGUUUAGAGCCCUUUGGGUGGGGGGCAGCAGGGAAGCCAGGAGCAGAAAGGAGGAGUGAUGUCCCAGUCACAGCUGUCUCCUCCUCGAUGGCACCUACAAGCCUUGGUAAAACAGGUUUCUUUGGACUCUGCACGAAUUCUGCAAGGUCAAAUGAAGAGGGGAUGGUCCCCACUUCCUCUGACCUCGUGGGGCCUCCCAUCUGUGUCUGAACUGCCUCUCCAAGCUCCAUCUGGCUCCAUCCUCUCCUGUCCAUAUUUUGUGGACAUUUUGUGACAUACACCAGUAGGUGCUGCAGGAGGAAGGGAGAAGAUACCUGCUCAGCCACGGUGUGUGCCCACGUCUUCUGGCUGCUGCUCGAGUCCCAGUAGCUGGGAGAAUAUGGAAUGUGUCGCUUGAGCCGCAUGAAUUGAUUCGCUGGCUCUUCUGUCAGAAAGGGUGCUCCAAGGACACUCGACACAGAAGCUGAUGAAUAUUUGUAAUAUCAGAAUAAUAUGUUAGAUUGUGCACUUCAAUAAUACACUGAUAUCCACAGAAAAUGGUGUUGAAUCUGUAGUUUAUUUAAUAAAAUUCAAAGGUGGUCCUACCUUAGAUUUUACUUAGAAAAAAAAUCUACCUUAGAUUUUACUUAGAAAGUAAAAAGAAACUUUCUUUUUAGACCUGAAGUUAAUAAAACAAAUGCUCUAAAUCAUUAUUUUGUUGUUGAAUCUGAAGUAAAUAAAGUUACAACCUAAUUAAGGCACUAAUUUAUCUUCUUAGACUGUAAUUGCACUAAUCUCAGGUGUGCUGAGAGCCUAAAGGUAUUUAAAAUAACACAAACCCUACCUGUGAAUUUAUCUAUGGUUUCCAAACCUCCUGGUUUAUGUGUGAUAUUUACUCUCAUUAGUAUCAACAUAGAAAUUGAAUGCUUGGAAAUUGCUUUCUGAAUAGAAGAUAUUGCACUUCUAAUCUUGUUAUUGCAUUGCUUCAGAUAGCUGCUGAGGUCACAAGCUUCAUAUGAAAGGCUCUGGUGCAGAAAAAAAAAAAAACUUUUCUUUUUAGUCUCGAGUGUUUGAGACAUAAAUUAAUUUUGAGACCUAAAUUAAUUUGGGGCGAAAAGAGUCCAAAAUAGCAUGUCAGUCCAAAUCACACAAUUUUGAAUGAACCACUGAUUAAGAUAGAGCUCAGAUCCAUCAGCCGAGCUGAGGCCAGUAAACAGCUGUGUCUGUAAACAGCUGUGCUCCAAUCUAGUCAAGUGGGUUUAAAUGGACACCUGAGGGUGACCUGCACAUGCUUGGAACAGAUGGGCCAAGAACCUGAACCGUUUUCUAAUAAGUCUUGGAGUAGGAGCUCAGCAGGACAAGCUAUCACCUCGCUCACAGCUCUCCAAUGCCCUGAUUCCUGAAUUUCUAGGGGGAAAAUUUAACUGGGUGUAUCAAAUGUUUGCUUCCAUAUGCAAUGUUCAGCUGAAUCAAGCUGUAAUUCACUUGUAAUUAUUGCUGAUCAUAUUCCUGAUUGUAAAAUAUUUCGUGAUCAUCAAAUAUUUCCUGAUUAUCCACAAUAUUGUUGCUUUUUUAAUUUUUUAAAUAGAAGAAAAUGUUUGCUGAAUUCAUAUACGUAGAAGAUAUGUGAAUGAGAGUGUUUGCUGCUCCCUUUCACUUUGUUUCUUUUCAGUGCCAAAAAUGCUUAAAAAGAAAUGAGAAAAAGUUUGGUUAUACAGUAAUGAACAAAAAAAAAAGUGAGGGUGGUUGCAAUCUUUGGUCUUAAUAUAGACAUCAAAUAGUACUUCAAAAAAGCCACUUAGCAAGAAACAACAGUCCCAGUAGUUCCUUGCUACUUCAGUUCUUCAUAUUCCAUGUUACUAUAAUCAUAAACUGGAAGUAGAAGUUUUAGGGUGGGAGUUUUCAAGGAAUACCAUCUUCAAAAAUGUUACCAACUCCAUGAAAAAAAGUAAGUUCAGAUAUUUGGUGGAAGGCCGGGAAAGAAGAAAAUAUAUUUCAUGCAUAUGUCUAUUAAGCUGCUAUACUUGUAUAAGAGAAAACUAAGCUUGUGCCAAAUUUCAACAUUUCUCCAGCAAUUUACUAUUUUCCAGUAGAAAAAUCUAUGAGCUGUUAAUUUUUCUUUAGUGAAUUUGGGGAAUUUUUUUUUUUAUUAACUAUUUUGUAAGCUCAUGAUUACAUUUCUGGGCUGAAAUAACUGAACUGGGAUCAAAAAUUGACUCAUUAAAAAGGCUUCCAUUUUCUUUAAAUGUACAUAUAGUUAGUAAGGGCCAUUAAACAUUACAUUUUAUCACCAAUAUGUGCUCUGGCCCUCCAAAUUUGAAAUAAGCUGCAAAAAAAAAAAAAAAAAAGAGAUCAUUAGGCAGCUCUGCUUCUUGUGGGUUUUUCUCUUGCUGCCAGCAUCUUUAAAAAUGAGCUUGUCAUUCCACAGGUGGGACAGUGAGGUGUUAUCUUGGCUACUGUGGUGCAGCAAGCUGCAUCUUCAGGGUAUUACAUGUCAAUUUUUAAUAUACAGCCUUCUCAGGCUGCACCUCUAACUAUGCUAAGUAUUCACUUUGAUGCUCUGAGGAGAGGCAGGUAUGCCAGCUCUGCUCUUGGCUUUUCUUGUCAAUGCUGACACCUAGAUCUUAUUCUUUUCUAGCUGCUGUUUCAUUUCCUGGGAGCUGUCUCUGCAGAACUAGUACCCAGCUGCUGGGGUACUCCAAAAAUGCAGAAGUACCAAGAGAAAAUCAGGCUUGAAUGGAAGCAUAUUUCUCUUUACAAGGACAGAUUUCUAGAAAGCAACGUUCUCAUCUGGGUGCAGCCACAAAAUCUUCCCAGGAAGACAUCUGUUUCUAUCAGCUGAAUGUGCAGUGAUCCACUUCAUCACACAAUCAAAAAGCAGGCUGGAGCCCUGCUGCGAUGCCACCGCCACGUUGUGAUCUGAGUCUCCUGGAACAAUAAUCAUCCAGAGCCACCCUCACUGCAGAUGCUAGGACUGGCAUCCUUUAAGUUAUGUUCCUUCCAUGCCUGAUGUUCCUGCUGGCUUGGGAUCCAAGUCUGCACUUCAGACUGUGUUUGUUAAGAAAAUUCCUUCACACAGACAAGCAGCAAGCAAACACUCUAUAUGCAGGACCAAGAUGCUCACAGUUGUGUCUACCUUUCAAGGAGUCUGACUCCACAUUCCCUACCCACUGAUGUAAAUGUUUUCUUUUUAGCAUAACUUAAGUUGUUUAAUUACAGCAUGAAAACAUUAGGCAUAUGUUCAAUUUCCAGUUAUUAUCAGUGUCAUUUUCUUGUUUGGUUUAUGUGCCACAAAGGUUCUUUUUUUAAAAAAUGUCAUUUUGUUUUGACAUUCCAGGUUCUGCAUAUUUUGAGCUGUGCUGUUGCCAGUGCUCUGUGGGUGUUUGGUCUCUGGGAACCCUCUGAACUAAAUAAAUGCCUCAUCACUGA